This 696-nucleotide long non-coding RNA is filed under the name Nicotiana benthamiana. Its description in RNAcentral is "long non-coding RNA (NBEN_LNC032192)". The record is from RNAcentral. Lineage: Eukaryota; Viridiplantae; Streptophyta; Magnoliopsida; Solanales; Solanaceae.
UAUUAUCCCCAGUGUAUACAUAUACUUUAAACAUAACUCUAUUUUUUUUAAAUGAUGGUAUUCUGGUUGGUUUAAACAUACGUCGGUACUCAUCCAUUUAAUAUAUGAUCCUUCUUACACGUACACAUGUGGGUAACGUUUUCCUGUAAUAUUUAGGCAUAUAGAAAAAAUUCAAUAAAUAUUGCCGUUGCUACAAAUUCCAAUUUUGCUAACUCAACCCCAAAAACUAGCUUAUAAGGUGAGGAUUGCCCAAGCCGUAUAAGGAGACCAAGGACCUCAAAUCACUCCGAUGUGGGACAACUCAACACCCCCCUCACGCCCUGAUCUCUGGAGCGUGGACAAACAUAAAUGGGGGCCCAACAUCGGUAACAAUAAUUGGGAUGGGCGUGGCUCUGAUACCAUGAUAAGAAUGGACAUUGUGCCUAACUCAUCCCCAAAAGCUAGCUUAUGAGGUGAGGAUUGCCCAAGCCAUAUAAGGAGACCAAGGACCUCAAAUCCCUCCAAUGUGGGACAACUCAAUAAAUUGUCAUUCGAUUCUUUUGCGGAAGCAUUCUGCGGCGAGUAGUACUGGCAGCAUAGCCAUCUUAAUUGGCUUCUUCUCGGAGACCAAGGAGCUCAAAUCCCUCCAAUGUGGGACAACUCAACAAAGAGAGGGGCCAUUCUUCUUUCAUGGAGACAAAAGUAGUCUCUUUUACU